CUACAUUUAACAUUCUGUUGCUGUCUGCUGUCUCCUAGGUACAGCUACAUUUAACAUUCUGUUGCUGUCUGCUGUCUCCUAGGUACAGCUACAUUUAACAUUCUGUUUGAAGCUUCUCUUGUCUCCUGGUUGGGUGGAGAACUAGCUGAUUGGUGUACAGGCAUGUCAAUUAGGGAGUUAAAGCCAUUUCUGAUCGAUGUGUCAAGAGUUAAGAACACAAACUUUUUCAGAGAAUUAAAACAAGAAUUAUAACAACUGAAUAACACAGACAGGGAUGCAGAAAAUACCAAGGAAAUACUUUUAUUUGGACCUGAACAGGGAAAAACCAACCUGUUAUUGUUCUGUUUGCCUCAGUGGAGGAUUGCCUCACCUCCAUAGCAACACACGAUGCCCACAGAUGUUUUCAGUUGGAGGCUUGUUGGAGCUUGUGGCUUCAUUGCAGUGUCUCUUAGAUUGUGGUAUGGUCCAUGAUAUUGCGAUAGUCAAACUUGCAAUACCCUAACUCAAACAAGAUGAGAAUGUUUUGGUAUCGGCGCAAAGCAGUCUAAGGCACUGCGUCUCAGUGCUAGGGGCGUCACUACACACCCCGGUUCGAUUCCAGGCUGUAUCACAACCGGCCGUGAUUUUGGAGUUCCAUAGGGCGGCGCACAAUUGGCCGAGCGUCGUCAGGGUUUGGCCCGGGGUCGGCCGUCAUUGUAAAUGAGGAUUUGCCUGGUUAAAUAAAUCAAAUAAGCCCACUUAUGAAUCAAAAUACUGUAGUUAUUGGAAAACAAAGGCAUGCAUCCCAAUUGGCACCCUAUUCCCUAUGUAGUGCACUACUAUUGACCCCAAAUUGGCACCCUAUUCCCUAUAUAGUGCUCUCCUAUUGACCCCAAAUGGCACCCUAUUCCCUAUAUAGUGCUCUCCUAUUGACCCCAAAUGGCACCCUAUUCCCUUUAUAGUGCACUACUAUUGACCCCAAUUGGCACCCUAUUCCCUUUAUAGUGCACUACUAUUGACCCCAAUUGGCACCCUAUUCCCUAUAUAGUCUACUACUAUUGACCCCAAUUGGCACCCUAUUCCCUAUAUAGUCUACUACUAUUGACCCCAAUUGGCACCCUAUUCCCAAUAUAGUCUACUACUAUUGACCCCAAUUGGCACCCUAUUCCCUUUAUAGUCUACUACUAUUGACCCCAAUUGGCACCCUAUUCCCUAUAUAGUGCACUACUGUAUCUAUGCUGCUUCCUGCUUGGAGGCCCCUGUCAGGAAACCCCCUCAGCUCUCCCCGGAUGGCUGGACCUCUGUUACAGAACUACCUGGUCGUUCAUAGAGACCUCUCUGUUACAGAACUACCUGGUCGUUCAUAGAGACCUCUCCUCUCUGUUACAGAACUAC
Long non-coding RNA from Oncorhynchus tshawytscha (Chinook salmon), 1374 nucleotides. The record is from Ensembl. Lineage: Eukaryota; Metazoa; Chordata; Actinopteri; Salmoniformes; Salmonidae.